UUCAAAAAGGAAAAAAUAUUCUCAUAAUUACGGAUAUCUCUAAUUAAUUGGGGCCAACACUUUAUUUAUUUCCUAAACUCUUUUAGCACUCAAUUACACAAACUUUUCUCACCCAACACUUGAUUUAAUUUCACAAACAAUUCUCACAGAUCAAGCAACACGUUGACAUCAAUUAGAGGAGACGGUUCAGGCGGCAGCGGAUGGGAGGAGGAGGGGCAGAAGCAGAUCGGAGGACAUAGUCCAAGCGGCAGCAAAUCGGAGGAAGAGAGUGAAGAUGAAGCAGUUCUUGAGAAAAAUAUGAUGACAUGGCUGUUGUAGAAGAGUCGGAGAUGACGUUUUUAAGCGCGGCAACCAUUAUUGAAUAUUCUUGCUCUUGGGUAAGACGAGACGACGAAAAUGGAGAAUAAUUCGGCGUCAUCAGCGGCGGAGUUGUGUUUUCGGGGAAUGUUUGCCGCUUAAAAGAUCAUUGCAUUUUGGUGUUUUUACUUUUUAAGAUCGAUUUACCCCUUAUUUUUGUUAAUGUUGCUGUUGUUUUUUGCAUUUGUUGUUUUUCCAUGUUGUUGCUGUUGUUUUCUACUGCUACUGUUAUUUUCUUAGUAUAUUUUUUGUAUGUUUUU
Mercurialis annua (annual mercury) is the source of this 617-nucleotide long non-coding RNA. RefSeq lists it as uncharacterized. The transcript is spliced from 2 exons. NCBI's taxonomy places the organism in Eukaryota, Viridiplantae, Streptophyta, Magnoliopsida, Malpighiales, Euphorbiaceae. The record is from RefSeq and is a predicted model, not a curated record.